RNAcentral lists this ribosomal RNA (551 nucleotides) under uncultured Glomeromycotina. Its description in RNAcentral is "SSU rRNA". It matches the Rfam family "Eukaryotic small subunit ribosomal RNA", at positions 548 to 1098 of the family's 1831-position model. Lineage: Eukaryota; Fungi; Glomeromycota. The record is from RNAcentral.
UUGGAGGGCAAGUCUGGUGCCAGCAGCCGCGGUAAUUCCAGCCCCAAUAGCGUAUAUUAAAGUUGUUGCAGUUAAAAAGCUCGUAGUUGAAUUUCGGGAUUCAUCCGUUGGUCGGGCCUCACGGUCCGUACUGGUGUGAUGGGUUCCUACCUUCUGAAUAACCGGCAUGCCAUUAAUUUGGUGCGCCGGGGAAGCAGAACUAUUACCUUGAAAAAAUUAGAGUGCUUAAAGCAGGCAAGUGCCUGAAUAGGUUAGCAUGGAAUAAUAAAAUAGGACGGCAUGGUUCUAUUUUGUUGGUUUCUAGGAUCACCGUAAUGAUUAAUAGGGAUAGUUGGGGGCAUUAGUAUUCAAUUGUCAGAGGUGAAAUUCUUGGAUUUAUUGAAGACUAACUUCUGCGAAAGCAUUUGCCAAGGAUGUUUUCAUUAAUCAAGAACGAAAGUUAGGGGAUCGAAGACGAUCAGAUACCGUCGUAGUCUUAACCAUAAACUAUGCCGACUAGGGAUCGGACGAUGUUAAUUUUUUAAUGACUCGUUCGGCGCCUUACGGGAAAC